Molecule: ribosomal RNA, 459 nt
Filed under: Lactobacillus crispatus
Lineage: Bacteria; Bacillati; Bacillota; Bacilli; Lactobacillales; Lactobacillaceae
Description: partial 16S ribosomal RNA
Source: RNAcentral
AUUCGAUUAUCGUAUUACCGCGGCUGCUGGCACGUAGUUAGCCGUGACUUUCUGGUUGAUUACCGUCAAAUAAAGGCCAGUUACUACCUCUAUCCUUCUUCACCAACAACAGAGCUUUACGAUCCGAAAACCUUCUUCACUCACGCGGCGUUGCUCCAUCAGACUUGCGUCCAUUGUGGAAGACUCCCUACUGCCGCCUCCCGUAGGAGUUUGGGCUGUGUCUCAGUCCCAAUGUGGCCGAUCAGUCUCUCAACUCGGCUAUGCAUCAUCGCCUUGGUAAGCCUUUACCUUACCAACUAGCUAAUGCACCGCGGGGCCAUCCCAUAGCGACAGCUUACGCCGCCUUUUAAAAGCUGAUCAUGCGAUCUGCUUUCUUAUCCGGUAUUAGCACCUGUUUCCAAUCACUAGUGAAUUCGCGGCCGCCUGCAGGUCGACCAUAUGGGAGAGCUCCCAACGCGU